Molecule: ribosomal RNA, 331 nt
Filed under: uncultured bacterium
Lineage: Bacteria
Description: bacterial SSU rRNA
Rfam family: Bacterial small subunit ribosomal RNA
Source: RNAcentral
CGCGUAGGCGGACAGUAUAGUCAGGCGUGAAAUUCCUGGGCUCAACCUGGGGGCUGCGCUUGAUACGUGCUGUCUUGAGUGGGGAAGAGGGUCGUGGAAUUCCCAGUGUAGAGGUGAAAUUCGUAGAUAUUGGGAAGAACACCGGUGGCGAAGGCGGCGACCUGGUCCUUGACUGACGCUGAGGCGCGAAAGCGUGGGGAGCAAACAGGAUUAGAUACCCUGGUAGUCCACGCCGUAAACGAUGUGCGCUGGAUGUUGGGCGGCCUAGCCGUUCAGUGUCGUAGCUAACGCGAUAAGCGCACCGCCUGGGGAGUACGGCCGCAAGGUUGAA